GCACUGAUGGUCUAACGGUAAGACUCCUCCGUCGCGAGCGAGGUGAUGCGGUUUCGAUUCCUGCUCGGUGCUCUA
RNAcentral lists this transfer RNA (75 nucleotides) under Rhodopirellula maiorica SM1. RNAcentral's name for it is "tRNA-Ala". It matches the Rfam family "tRNA". From Rfam's summary of the family: Transfer RNA (tRNA) molecules are approximately 80 nucleotides in length. Lineage: Bacteria; Pseudomonadati; Planctomycetota; Planctomycetia; Pirellulales; Pirellulaceae. The record is from RNAcentral.